UACGGGGGGGGCAAGCGUUGUUCGGAAUUACUGGGCGUAAAGGGCUCGUAGGUGGCCAACUAAGUCAGACGUGAAAUCCCUCGGCUUAACCGGGGAACUGCGUCUGAUACUGGAUGGCUUGAGAUUGGGAGAGGGAUGCGGAAUUCCAGGUGUAGCGGUGAAAUGCGUAGAUAUCUGGAGGAACACCGGUGGCGAAGGCGGCAUCCUGGACCGGCAUUGACGCUGAGGCGCGAAAGCCAGGGGAGCAAACGGG
This 253-nucleotide ribosomal RNA is filed under the name uncultured bacterium. Its description in RNAcentral is "partial 16S ribosomal RNA". It matches the Rfam family "Bacterial small subunit ribosomal RNA", at positions 524 to 776 of the family's 1533-position model. The record is from RNAcentral.